RNAcentral lists this ribosomal RNA (592 nucleotides) under uncultured bacterium. RNAcentral's name for it is "partial 16S ribosomal RNA". It matches the Rfam family "Bacterial small subunit ribosomal RNA", at positions 355 to 1375 of the family's 1533-position model. The record is from RNAcentral.
UGGGGAAUUUUGGACAAUGGGCGAAAGCCUGAUCCAGCAAUGCCGCGUGUGUGAAGAAGGCCUUCGGGUUGUAAAGCACUUUUGUCCGGAAAGAAAUCCUUGGCUCUAAUACAGUCGGGGGAUGACGGUACCGGAAGAAUAAGCACCGGCUAACUACGUGCCAGCAGCCGCGGUAAUACGUAGGGUGCAAGCGUUAAUCGGAAUUACUGGGCGUAAAGCGUGCGCAGGCGGUUUGCUAAGACCGAUGUGAAAUCCCCGGGCUCAACCUGGGAGCUGCAUUGGUGACUGGCAGGCUAGAGUAUGGCAGAGGGGGGUAGAAUUCCACGUGUAGCAGUGAAAUGCGUAAAAGAGAUGUGGAGGAAUACCGAUGGCGAAGGCAGCCCCCUGGGCCAAUACUGACGCUCAUGCACGAAAAGCGUGGGGGAGCAAACAGGAUUAGAUACCCCUGGUAGUCCACGCCCUAAACGAUGUCAACUAGUUGUUGGGGGAUUCAUUUCCUUAGUAACGUAGCUAACGCGUGAAGUUGACCGCCUGGGGAAUACGGUCGCAAGAUUAAAACUCAAAUGAAUUGACGGGGUCAUAGCUGUUUCCU